CUCUUAAACGGAUAAGGAGCUGGCAUCAGGCACAGAACCCUUGCCCAUAACGCCUAGUUUCACCACGCCUCCAAAGGUAGUCAGCAGUGAUCAACAUUGUCUAUGGGCGCAAGCCCGAAUCAGUUAAAGAAAAGAGAGUCGGCAAACCCGGUGCCAGCCGCCGCGGCCAUACCGUGGACUCAAGUUAAUAACUACCGGCGUAAAGCGUGAUUAAAGAGCCCUUAAAUUAGAGUUGAAUGGAGGCUUAGCUGUUUAAAGCUUACUUAUUAAGAAACCCAAAAACGAAAGUUACUCUAAUUAAUUUCUUGAAUACACGAAAGUUUGGGAACAAACUGGGAUUAGUAGAUACCCCACUAUG
This 358-nucleotide ribosomal RNA is filed under the name Polypedates leucomystax (Java whipping frog). RNAcentral describes it as "partial 12S ribosomal RNA". It matches the Rfam family "Bacterial small subunit ribosomal RNA", at positions 305 to 794 of the family's 1533-position model. Lineage: Eukaryota; Metazoa; Chordata; Amphibia; Anura; Rhacophoridae. The record is from RNAcentral.